This 210-nucleotide ribosomal RNA is filed under the name Salmonella enterica subsp. enterica serovar Kentucky. RNAcentral describes it as "partial 16S ribosomal RNA". It matches the Rfam family "Bacterial small subunit ribosomal RNA", at positions 1 to 218 of the family's 1533-position model. The record is from RNAcentral. Lineage: Bacteria; Pseudomonadati; Pseudomonadota; Gammaproteobacteria; Enterobacterales; Enterobacteriaceae.
AAAUUGAAGAGUUUGAUCAUGGCUCAGAUUGAACGCUGGCGGCAGGCCUAACACAUGCAAGUCGAACGGUAGCACAGAGAGCUUGCUCUCGGGUGACGAGUGGCGGACGGGUGAGUAAUGUCUGGGAAACUGCCUGAUGGAGGGGGAUAACUACUGGAAACGGUGGCUAAUACCGCAUAACGUCGAAAGACCAAAGAGGGGGACCUUCGG